ACGGGUGAGUAACACGUAGGUAACCUGCCGAUCAGACAGGGAUAACUACCGGAAACGGUAGCUAAGACCGGAUACGCUUGCGAGGGGGCAUCCUCUUGUAAGGAAAAGCGGAGCAAUCUGCUACUGAUUGAUGGACCUGCGGCGCAUUAGCUAGUUGGUGAGGUAGCGGCUCACCAAGGCGACGAUGCGUAGCCGACCUGAGAGGGUGAACGGCCACACUGGGACUGAGACACGGCCCAGACUCCUACGGGAGGCAGCAGUAGGGAAUCUUCGGCAAUGGACGCAAGUCUGACCGAGCAACGCCGCGUGAGUGAUGAAGGUUUUCGGAUCGUAAAACUCUGUUGCCAGGGAAGAAUGAUUGAGAGAGUAACUGCUCUUGAUGUGACGGUACCUGAGAAGAAAGCCCCGGCUAACUACGUGCCAGCAGCCGCGGUAAUACGUAGGGGGCAAGCGUUGUCCGGAAUUAUUGGGCGUAAAGCGCGCGCAGGCGGUUGCUUAAGUCUGGUGUAUAAACCAAGGGCUCAACCUUUGGACGCAUUGGAAACUGGGCAACUGGAGUGUAGGAGAGGAAGGUGGAAUUCCACGUGU
This 588-nucleotide ribosomal RNA is filed under the name uncultured bacterium. RNAcentral's name for it is "bacterial SSU rRNA". It matches the Rfam family "Bacterial small subunit ribosomal RNA", at positions 102 to 676 of the family's 1533-position model. The record is from RNAcentral.